GCUUGACGACAAUGACAUACUGACUGAUGUUUUCCUUUAAGGUGCAAUGCACGAAUUAACCACAUGAGGACGUCGUUGUUCCAACAGCGAUAUUGGCGGAAAGCGCGUAACGUUUCAAGAUGGGCAAAAAGAACAAGAAAGGAACAGGAAGGAGCCUGCAUGAAAACUUGAGGUGUCAUCGAAGAAGCUUCGACUCAGCAAGAGAGUAGACUGCUGCUUUCCACAUACGUGUUAUUUUUAUGUAUUGCGCAAGGUGACACACACUCACACCCACACACACACACACACACGCGCACACACAAACACGUACCUGUCAUUGAGGUGCAGGAGACGAGAGAGUUGAGCACGUCGCUGCUUGUUGACGUAGAUGUUGAAGAGGAAUUCUUUCUCCAGCUCUCUGAUCUACUGCUUGGAGUAAGGGCAACGCUUCUUACUCCUCGCUGCAGAUGCGACACAAUAACGCAUUUGUCACAGUUCAACAAAGAGAAUAUCGGGACGUUUUGGUCACAUUUGAAAGCAGAGGAAACGUUGUAAUUCUGAAAGGGAGUGCAGAAUGAGCAGGUUUUUUUUGGGCGCAUUGAUAUUAAUGAACUUAAAAUGCAGUUUUGCUCUUAUUUUUAAAAAUUACCAUUCAAAAUAUAAUAUUGAAAUAAUAUUAUUUCUCAUUUUUACUUUACUUGAAAAUAUAAUUCAGACCUUAUCAUUUCGUCUCAACGUACCUGUAUUUUGAUUUUUUUUUUGUAAACCACGUUUCUUAAAAUUAGUAUUCUCUUUUGGUAUUCAAUCUUUUAUGGAAAACAUUUUGAAAAAUAAAUAUUGACUUUAUAAUUUACUGAAAUAAUAAUGGACCUCAAUUAGACUGCCUAAAAUAUAGCAGCCGACUUAAGUUUUGUCUCGAAAUAUUUUGGUAUAAACUUAUUUGUAUUAUUUAAAUACAACAGUUGACUUGUUCAUUAACGCGUUUUACAUAAAGCAGAGUAGGCUAGUCACGUUUGGUCUUGAAAUGUUUUGAUUUAAAAUGGUUUCAUUUGACAGCAUUCAAAAACAAUAUUAAAAGCAGUCACACUUGUUUGGUCUUUCAUCAUUUUAGAAUCAUUUUUAUUUUGGUGAGUUUUAGGAUAACCUUAUAGUUGACUGAAUUUGUAUUUUCACCCGUUUAUUAAAUAUUUGAAAGAUA
This is a long non-coding RNA of Hippocampus zosterae (dwarf seahorse), 1177 nucleotides long. RefSeq lists it as uncharacterized. Lineage: Eukaryota; Metazoa; Chordata; Actinopteri; Syngnathiformes; Syngnathidae. The record is from RefSeq and is a predicted model, not a curated record. The transcript is spliced from 2 exons.